Molecule: transfer RNA, 44 nt
Filed under: Anthocleista grandiflora
Lineage: Eukaryota; Viridiplantae; Streptophyta; Magnoliopsida; Gentianales; Gentianaceae
Also listed under: 7 other names
Description: partial tRNA-Phe
Rfam family: tRNA
About the family: Transfer RNA (tRNA) molecules are approximately 80 nucleotides in length. Their secondary structure includes four short double-helical elements and three loops (D, anti-codon, and T loops).
Source: RNAcentral
GUCGGGAUAGCUCAGCUGGUAGAGCAGAGGACUGAAAAUCCUCG